This 501-nucleotide ribosomal RNA is filed under the name uncultured Actinomycetes bacterium. RNAcentral's name for it is "bacterial SSU rRNA". It matches the Rfam family "Bacterial small subunit ribosomal RNA", at positions 944 to 1449 of the family's 1533-position model. The record is from RNAcentral. Lineage: Bacteria; Bacillati; Actinomycetota; Actinomycetes.
GCUUAAUUCGACGCAACGCGAAGAACCUUACCAAGGCUUGACAUAUACAGGAAUAUGGCAGAAAUGUCAUACCCGCAAGGUCUGUAUACAGGUGGUGCAUGGUUGUCGUCAGCUCGUGUCGUGAGAUGUUGGGUUAAGUCCCGCAACGAGCGCAACCCUCGUUCUGUGUUGCCAGCAUUUAGUUGGGGACUCACAGGAGACUGCCGGGUUAACUCGGAGGAAGGUGGGGAUGACGUCAAAUCAUCAUGCCCCUUAUGUCUUGGGCUGCACGCAUGCUACAAUGGCUGGUACAAACGGCUGCGAUACCGCAAGGUGGAGCGAAUCCGAUAAAGCCAGUCUCAGUUCGGAUUGGGGUCUGCAACUCGACCCCAUGAAGUCGGAGUUGCUAGUAAUCGUAGAUCAGCAACGCUACGGGUGAAUACGUUCCCGGGGCUUGUACACACCGCCCGUCACGUCACGAAAGUCGGUAACACCCGAAGUCAGUGCCCAACCGUAAGGGGG